UACGUAGGGGGCAAGCGUUGUCCGGAAUCAUUGGGCGUAAAGAGCGUGUAGGCGGCCCGAUAAGUCCGCUGUGAAAGUCCAGGGCUCAACCCUGGGAUGCCGGUGGAUACUGUCGGGCUCGAGUCCGGAAGAGGAGUGUGGAAUUCCUGGUGUAGCGGUGAAAUGCGCAGAUAUCAGGAGGAACACCAAUGGCGAAGGCAGCACUCUGGGACGUGACUGACGCUGAGGAGCGAAAGCGUGGGGAGCGAACAGG
RNAcentral lists this ribosomal RNA (253 nucleotides) under uncultured bacterium. RNAcentral describes it as "partial 16S ribosomal RNA". It matches the Rfam family "Bacterial small subunit ribosomal RNA", at positions 524 to 776 of the family's 1533-position model. The record is from RNAcentral.